UCGCGGCUUAUCACCGGCAGUCCCCUUAGAGUGCCCAACUGAAUGAUGGCAACUAAGGGCGAGGGUUGCGCUCGUUGCGGGACUUAACCCAACAUCUCACGACACGAGCUGACGACAGCCAUGCAGCACCUGUGCACGUGUCCCGAAGGAGGCCCUGGCUUUCACCAGGCUUUCACGUGCAUGUCAAGCCCAGGUAAGGUUCUUCGCGUUGCUUCGAAUUAAGCCACAUGCUCCACCGCUUGUGCGGGCCCCCGUCAAUUCCUUUGAGUUUCAGCCUUGCGGCCGUACUCCCCAGGCGGGGCACUUAACGCGUUAGCUGCGGCACCGAAGGGGUCGCUCCCCCCAGCAUCUAGCACCCAUCGUUUACGGCGUGGACUAC
RNAcentral lists this unclassified non-coding RNA (379 nucleotides) under uncultured bacterium. RNAcentral describes it as "contains 16S-23S intergenic spacer region". The record is from RNAcentral.